CCCUUAGAUGUUCUGGGCCGCACGCGCGCUACACUGACGAAUGCAACGAGCUUAUAACCUUGGCCGAAAGGUCUGGGUAAUCUCCAAAUUUCGUCGUGAUGGGGAUAGAUUAUUGCAAUUAUUAAUCUUCAACGAGGAAUGCCUAGUAAGCGCAAGUCAUCAGCUUGCGUUGAUUACGUCCCUGCCCUUUGUACACACCGCCCGUCGCUCCUACCGAUUGAAUGGUCCGGUGAAUAAUUCGGACUGCAGCACUGCUUGGUCUCCAGGCUUUGCAGCGGAAAGUUUAGUGAACCUUACCAUUUAGAGGAAGGUGAAGUCGUAACA
This 324-nucleotide ribosomal RNA is filed under the name uncultured eukaryote. Its description in RNAcentral is "partial 18S ribosomal RNA". It matches the Rfam family "Eukaryotic small subunit ribosomal RNA", at positions 1470 to 1796 of the family's 1831-position model. The record is from RNAcentral.